This 253-nucleotide ribosomal RNA is filed under the name uncultured bacterium. RNAcentral's name for it is "partial 16S ribosomal RNA". It matches the Rfam family "Bacterial small subunit ribosomal RNA", at positions 524 to 776 of the family's 1533-position model. The record is from RNAcentral.
UACGGAGGGUGCGAGCGUUGUUCGGAAUCACUGGGCGUAAAGGGCGUGUAGGCGGCCUGCUAAGUCUGAUGUGAAAGCCCGGGGCUCACCCCCGGAAGGGCAUUGGAUACUGGCAGGCUCGAGUCCCGGAGAGGAGGGUGGAAUUCCUGGUGUAGCGGUGAAAUGCGUAGAUAUCAGGAGGAACACCGGUGGCGAAGGCGGCCCUCUGGACGGUGACUGACGCUGAGACGCGAAAGCGUGGGGAGCAAACAGG